GACCAAGCUGGAAAUCGAGUAUGAGGUGGAUUCUCUUGUCUUGGUGUAUUUCCUGAGUGGCGCUUUGACAUUCACUACCAUCCUAAUUGUUCUACUGGCUUUCUUGGUGUACAAGAUAAUCAAGAAAAACAACUGCCAAUGUACAGAGUCUCAAGCAAGA
This is a long non-coding RNA of Micropterus salmoides (largemouth bass), 160 nucleotides long. RefSeq lists it as uncharacterized. NCBI's taxonomy places the organism in Eukaryota, Metazoa, Chordata, Actinopteri, Centrarchiformes, Centrarchidae. The record is from RefSeq and is a predicted model, not a curated record. The transcript is spliced from 3 exons.